AACGAACGCUGGCGGCGUGGAUAAGGCAUGCAAGUCGAGCGAUGCCCGCAAGGGCAUAGCGGCAGAAGGGUUAGUAACACGUGGGUAAUUUGCCUUCAGGCGUGGGAUAACCUUCCGAAAGGAGGGCUAAUACCGCAUAACAUUUCAGACCCGCAUGGGUUUGAAAUCAAAGGUGGCUCGCAAGGGCUGCCACCAGAAGAUGAGCCCG
This 208-nucleotide ribosomal RNA is filed under the name uncultured bacterium. Its description in RNAcentral is "partial 16S ribosomal RNA". It matches the Rfam family "Bacterial small subunit ribosomal RNA", at positions 29 to 233 of the family's 1533-position model. The record is from RNAcentral.